GGAGGAUGUGGAUGUGGGGGGCGUGGGUCCCUAGCGGGAAGUUAUGUUAGUACCUGAGAGAAGGAGCCGCUGAUGGCUGCAGGAGGGUUCAAGGCAGGGCCCGUGUCAGUGAGGAGGUGCCCAUACGCUCACACGACGGCCGCCUACGGUGUGGAGAGGUGCCCACCAAGGGUACAGAACCAAUGCCGGUGACGGCAGCAGGUGGCAGAAGGGGCCUUCCGCCCAGGACAACCACAGUGGAUUAAGGAGCAGGCACCACCUUUAUUUGGGGGGACCACACACACUUCCCUUUCAAGUGCCAGUCCCUUGAAGGAGGGGAAAGAGCCAGGCUUGGGUGGGGGGAGGGAGGGAGGAGUAAGUGCUCAGCUGGAUAGGAGUCGAUGGGGAAGAAACAAAGACGUGUGUCGCUGCCUACGUCUUUAACAAGUGCCUUGGAACGCAUCCAGCCGUCACAAUUGUCCAAAUUUUACUCCAAAUCCAAUCUGUGACUCCUAUUGUCUUCUUCCACUGGGGGACACUUAGAAAGACGUAACAGAUGGCUGUGUGUGGCAAUAGUGUUCCUUCCCCACUGCCAGGAGUGAGUUGUUUUUUUUUUUUUUCCCAUCGGUGCCUUUCUCUUUCAUCCAAAAAAUAAUUUUUCUUCAUAUCAAAAGCAAUACAUUGUUUUGAUAUCAUAGAAAAGCAUAAAGAAGAAAAUUUAAAUCUCCCAUAAUGCUACCAGCCCAGAGACAACCACUGCUAAAAUUUUACUGCACUUCCUGCCCGGUUUCUCACCCAUGCAUGGGUUAGUGUCUUUGGCCAGGUACGUACGUCUUUCAGGUCCCGCUGCCCAGAUGCGCUGAUGAGCCUAUACUAAACUUUUCUGAUUCCAGGCCCUUCAUGCAGUAGCAGACAAAGCUGGGGGGGGGGGGACAGUGUGGGACAUGAGUCAGAGAGAAAACUAAUCCACCCAUAAGGGACUUAAAUACCAUCUUCUCAGCAGAUUCCUGAUCAGCCACAGACCUGAUCGGACCAUAAGCAGUUUAGAUUACAUUCAGCUGGUUCCAAAUGUUUGUUGGAACUGGUGUCGUAUUUAUCCAUAAAAACAAAAUUAUAAAUGGUGGUUGGAUUUGCAGGCCAUAAAGCUCAAGAUGACCAGCGGUGGAACCGAGAGAUCGUUGAUGACUGUUCUGAUCACAGAUUCCUCUUAAGCCCUUCUGAAAUCGUCCCUCGGAGACCUGAAUCCCGGAUGUCCGAGUCUUGACCAGUCCCCUUGUCUACCCUAAAUUUUCAGAGGGUAGGAGGACUCAGGUGGGAGAGUCACAGCGUCAUUCACAAGUCCAGCACUGCUAAUCAGAGAGUCGGUAUUGAAACCGUGGGCUUUGGAGACAGCCCUGCCUGGGUUCAAAUCCCAGUGCUGCCUGGAAUUAGUUAUGUGAGUCUGGGACGCUCGCUUAACCUCUGAGUCUAUUUUCUCGCCUAUAAAGUGGGAAUCAUAAUGCAUAUUCCUAAGGAUUUCUGUGAAGGUUAGAGAAGAUAGGACGUGAUUUCUUGGACUCGAAAAUGACAAUAUCCCACAGAUUCCCACCGUUGAUUUAAAUUACUGAAAUGAGGACCUUUCUCAAAUAUCGAUAAAUACACUCUUUACAACUAUACGACCAAAGGCAAGAGUACAAGUCGAGAAAAACCAACAAAACUAAAGCUGGCUCCUGGGAUUAAUGCUGUUAUUUUGCUGAAAUUAAUUCGGCUUCUUGAAACACCAGUUUUUAGGACGGGGUUCUUUUGAGCCGGGCAUCCCGAACCCAGCAUGUGCCGCGCGAUGGUUCAACUUGCUGACAACCUUUCUCGGGUCUGGACAUUGUAACCUGGAGGGCUGUAGGCUACGUGUGGCCCGUGGGUGGACGUGUUUCACCUGACCCUCAUAGGAUUCAUUUUUUCCAAUUAGCUGCUGUUAUAAAAGAAUGAAGACAUUACACCUAAAAUGCGCUGUUCCCGCUCCUCUUGAAAGGCUGGAAGAGGGGCGCCUGGGUGGCUCAGUCGGUUAAGCAUCCGACUUCAGCUCAGGUCACGAUCUCGCAGUCUGAGAGUUCGAGCCCCGCGUCGGGCUCUGGCCUGAUGGCUCAGAGCCUGGAGCCUGCUUCCGAUUCUGUGUCUCCCUCUCUCUCUGCCCCUCCCCCGUUCAUGCUCUGUCUCUCUCUGUCAAAAAUAAAUAAAAUGUUAAAAAAAAAAAAAAAGAAAGGCUGGAAGAGCCAGUGCCGCAGGACCGCAGGGUCAGGGGGUGAAUGGCAGUCCCCUGUCACCUGAGCUGGGCUUCCCAACUCCACUCUCCUGGCUCUUCUCACGUGCGUAAGCUGCCAGCCUCUGUGGGAUUUGCUCUGGGACCUCUUCCUCUGUGACUUACACCUGUUCCUCAGCAGCCCGUGACGGCCAAACAGCAUUUCAAGACACCCCCAAAAGGUAAGAAACGCAAGAGCAAAAAAACUUCUGCUGAAAUUGUGAGCAGCAUUCAGUUCUCCCGUGUCCAUCCAGAUGACCCGGACGAGUUUGUUUGCCUACAUGUGCUUGAAGGUUUUUAUUGAAGCGCAAAGACAAAAUGUUGAAAUCCUCCUAAGCUAUCCUUCAUUCCUCCAGGAUCCCCGAACCCCCAGUUUGAGGGCCGAUUCCCUCUCAGAGUCCGUAGGAGGAACCAAUGCUGCUGACACCUUGAUUUCAGACUUCCAGCCUCCAGCACCUUGAGAGCAUACAUUUCGGUUGUUUUAAGCCACCCAGUCUGGAGUAGUUUGUUAGGGCAGCCUUAGGGAGCUAAGAUAGUCACCUUGCAUAGAAUCGGACCCCAGGAGAGAAUGAACCGGACGUGACUAUCUUUGAAGGGAAAGAAACUGAAAGGGGGAAUAGUACCAGUCCAAAAAUGCAGUAGGUGGUUCCCCAUCCCUCGCCUCUGGCGGACACGCGGGUGGAUUAUGGACCAUUCUCCCCCACGCCGCCACCAUCAUCAGACCCCUGCCCUCUUCUGUCUGCGGCUUCUUCAAGGUAUACUUUCCACUGCCUUGCACCUCCUUAAUCUCCAGUCUUCUCUCUCUACGUUUGUAGUGAGGGCUGGGUAGAACAGAACACCAGAACAGGUGCAUGGCAGGGAGAGACGGAUGAGAAGCAGGGUCCAGCUCGGGGGUGGGGGUAAGAGAUGGCUGCUGGGAGGAAGGCCAACGCAGCCAGGAAGCGCACCGCAUCUAAUACACAUUCUGUCCACAAUUGGAACCAGGCAGACCCCGAGAGACAGCAUCUGAAGACAAUGCCGGAAGUAUCUCAGAGAGAAGUCUUUGUUCUGGCCUCGCCAGUACAAAACAAAACUGUUUUUUUUCUUUUCAGGCAAAAAGACACCUAAAUAGCACUCCAGUCUUCAACAGAGCUGGGUGCAGGAACAAACCACCAGUUCAUGCAGUGUGAGUUUUUAAGGGUAUUUACACAAGAGAAAUGAAAACGAAUGCCCACACAAAGACCAGUACACAAAUGUUCAGAGCAGUCUUAUUCAUAUGAGCUAAAAACUGGAAACAACACAAAUGUCCAUCAGUGGGUGAGUGGAUAAAGAGGGCAUAUCUAUGAAGCAGAACACUGCUAGCAAUAAAAAGGAACACGCUGCUGAUAUCCAUCAUUACACUGAGUCAAAGAAGCCAGAAGCAAAAGGGUACAUAUUAUAUAAUGCCAUUUAUAUAAAAUUCUAGAAAAUGUAAAUUAAUCUGUGUGGUGACGAGACAGAUCAGCAAUGUGGAUCCCAGGGGUGGAGGAGGAAAUUACCACAUGGGGCAUAAGGAGACUUUGGGGGGCAAUGGAAAUGUUCUAUGUCUUAAUCGUGGAAUUGAUUUCACACAUGUGUAUUCCUAUUAAGAGUCAUCAAAGCGCA
Molecule: long non-coding RNA, 3877 nt
Organism: Neofelis nebulosa (Clouded leopard)
Lineage: Eukaryota; Metazoa; Chordata; Mammalia; Carnivora; Felidae
Exons: 2
Source: RefSeq, a predicted model, not a curated record